UACGAAGGGGGCUAGCGUUGCUCGGAAUCACUGGGCGUAAAGCGCACGUAGGCGGACUUUUAAGUCAGGGGUGAAAUCCUGGAGCUCAACUCCAGAACUGCCUUUGAUACUGGAAGUCUUGAGUCCGGAAGAGGUAAGUGGAACUGCGAGUGUAGAGGUGAAAUUCGUAGAUAUUCGCAAGAACACCAGUGGCGAAGGCGGCUUACUGGUCCGGUACUGACGCUGAGGCACGAAAGCGUGGGUAGCAAACAGG
RNAcentral lists this ribosomal RNA (253 nucleotides) under uncultured bacterium. Its description in RNAcentral is "partial 16S ribosomal RNA". It matches the Rfam family "Bacterial small subunit ribosomal RNA", at positions 524 to 776 of the family's 1533-position model. The record is from RNAcentral.